Molecule: long non-coding RNA, 213 nt
Filed under: Medicago truncatula (barrel medic)
Lineage: Eukaryota; Viridiplantae; Streptophyta; Magnoliopsida; Fabales; Fabaceae
Description: long non-coding RNA (MTRU_LNC000725)
Source: RNAcentral
AAUAUUUAAUGGUUUAAAAUGAGUUGUAAGUUGAAAACGUGGUUAAAGUGUGUAAGCUGAAGAAUUAAAGGUGGUGUUUGUGGAAUUGUAACGUCUAGAAAUAAUAAGCCUUCACAAAUCAAUGUGCAAAUGAAUAUGUAACCUCCUCAUGCAUUGAUUAGCCACCAACUUAGAGAGUCAUUUUGUAACCUCUUAUUUGCAUUAAUCAGCCAC